UUUGAAAUCUGGCCCUUGUGGUCCGAGUUGUAAUUUGUAGAGGAUGCUUUUGGUGAGGUACCUUCCGAGUUCCCUGGAACGGGACGCCAUAGAGGGUGAGAGCCCCGUCUGGUUGGAUACCGAGCCUCUGUAAAGCUCCUUCGACGAGUCGAGUAGUUUGGGAAUGCUGCUCUAAAUGGGAGGUAUAUGUCUUCUAAAGCUAAAUAUUGGCCAGAGACCGAUAGCGCACAAGUAGAGUGAUCGAAAGAUGAAAAGCACUUUGAAAAGAGGGUUAAAUAGUACGUGAAAUUGUUGAAAGGGAAGCGCUUGUGACCAGACUUGGGCUUGGUUAAUCAUCCAGGGUUCUCCCUGGUGCACUUGGCCAGCCCAGGCCAGCAUCAGUUUGUCGCGGGGGAUAAAGGCGUCGGGAAUGUGGCUCCCCCGGGAGUGUUAUAGCCCUUCGUGUAAUACCCUGCUUUAGACUGAGGUUCGCGCAUCUGCAAGGAUGCUGGCGUAAUGGUCAUCAGCGACCCGUCUUGAAACACGGACCAAGGAGUCGUCUUCGUAUGCGAGUGUUCGGGUGUCAAACCCCUACGCGUAAUGAAAGUGAACGCAGGUGAGAGCUUCGGCGCAUCAUCGACCGAUCCUGAUGUUCUCGGAUGGAUUUGAGUAAGAGCAUACGGGGCCGGACCCGAAAGAAGGUGAACUAUGCCUGUGUAGGGUGAAGCCAGAGGAAACUCUGGUGGAGGCUCGCAGCGGUUCUGACGUGCAAAUCGAUCGUCAAACAUGGGCA
Molecule: ribosomal RNA, 772 nt
Filed under: Nectria pseudotrichia
Lineage: Eukaryota; Fungi; Ascomycota; Sordariomycetes; Hypocreales; Nectriaceae
Also listed under: 1 other name
Description: partial large subunit ribosomal RNA
Rfam family: Eukaryotic large subunit ribosomal RNA
Source: RNAcentral